GUCUGAUAGUGUGGCUCGUCCUCUUUUCUCUCCAUGCUACCCACUGGGUGCUGCUCUCCGGGUUUGCUUCUCUUGAACGAUGGGGACCCCUGCCCAGGACCCUCUCCCAUGUCCUGGUUUCCCGUUUCUAGGACAGGUCAUGCCACGGCCAUGUUUUCCACUGCUAGUACCUGCUUCCCUGAUCAUCAGCACCUUCGCCACAGCCCUCCUCAGUUCUCUGUCCCUGGCAGCCUCCCUGAAGCCACGGCCUCCGGGCAUUUACACAACAAUUUUAUGAACAAACAGGUUAGCAGAGCACAUCGGUUGCAUUCCUGAACGAGAGCUGAAGUUAGCAUCUUCCUCUGAGACCCCAAGUGGUGUCUCUCUAAUGACAAGGGAAUAUUCUUGCACAUGUGCAGAUGUCGGGCAGUGGGCGGCAAGAGAAGGGACAGAGCUGCUUACAUCUGUUUCUUUUGUAACCAAGAGCAAAACUGUGGUGCUCAGGCAGCCCAGCAGGGCCAAUCGGCACAAUGCCCAAACACACCGACAACUUUUGCCUUGGCCUCCUCUUGGCUCUCCCUGCAGCAAACCUGUGAACACAGGGCCAGAGCCAGGCUCUGGAUGGAAGGACUCAAAGGUGUCCUGCCUUUCUGUUGCUUCCAUCUGCACCAUCACUGGAAAAAUCCUCCUACGUCCAUGCCUGUCCUUCGACGUAUACAAGCAGGUUUUGAUUUCACGCGUGGAGUUUUCUAGUGGAACAUUACGUUGAGUUACAUGUCAUCAGUCAUACACCACCAAGCCACCCUCCGGUAACUCACUGGGACAUGGAGCAAGUGUCCUUGGCUGCAACAGUUACAGAGCAUGGGGGGUGGACCCCAGGACGGCCACUGCCACCUUCUGUGGACACCUCUGCUGACCUUCCCUACCCUUGUUCAUCCAUGCUCCCCUGCCUUCCUUCCAACACCUGUUUUUUUCUCCCUUGAGAAGGAGGAAGGCAGGUGGGGGUCUUGCGCGCAGAUCUUGGCCCCAGCCUUGCUUCGCCUCUUUACAGUGGAUCUUCAAG
Molecule: long non-coding RNA, 1042 nt
Filed under: Heterocephalus glaber (naked mole-rat)
Lineage: Eukaryota; Metazoa; Chordata; Mammalia; Rodentia; Bathyergidae
Description: lncRNA (ENSHGLG00000048440.1)
Source: RNAcentral